GACAGCAGUCGCCGCGGUAAUGCGUAGGUGGCAAGCGUUGUCCGGAAUUAUUGGGCGUAAAGGGCUCGCAGGCGGUUUCUUAAGUCUGAUGUGAAAGCCCCCGGCUCAACCGGGGAGGGUCAUUGGAAACUGGGAAACUUGAGUGCAGAAGAGGAGAGUAGAAUUCCACGUGUAACGGUGAAAUGCGUAGAGAUGUGGAGGAACACCAGUGGCGAAGGCGACUCUCUGGUCUGUAACUGACGCUGAGGAGCGAAAGCGUGGGGAGCGAACAGGAUUAGAUACCCCUGUAGUCCCUGUCUCUUAUAC
Molecule: ribosomal RNA, 306 nt
Filed under: uncultured bacterium
Lineage: Bacteria
Description: partial 16S ribosomal RNA
Rfam family: Bacterial small subunit ribosomal RNA
Source: RNAcentral